Molecule: ribosomal RNA, 254 nt
Filed under: uncultured bacterium
Lineage: Bacteria
Description: partial 16S ribosomal RNA
Rfam family: Bacterial small subunit ribosomal RNA
Source: RNAcentral
GACGAACCGAGCGAACGUUGUUCGGAAUCACUGGGCUUAAAGGGCGCGUAGGCGGGCUGUCAAGUCUGGGGUGAAAUCCCACGGCUCAACCGUGGAACUGCCUUAGAUACUGACGGCCUCGAGGGAGAUAGGGGCGAGCGGAACUGUGAGUGGAGCGGUGAAAUGCGUUGAUAUUCACAGGAACUCCGGUGGCGAAGGCGGCUCGCUGGAUCUUUUCUGACGCUGAGGCGCGAAAGCUAGGGGGAGCAAACGGG